Long non-coding RNA from Rosa rugosa (rugosa rose), 826 nucleotides. RefSeq lists it as uncharacterized. The transcript has 4 exons. NCBI's taxonomy places the organism in Eukaryota, Viridiplantae, Streptophyta, Magnoliopsida, Rosales, Rosaceae. The record is from RefSeq and is a predicted model, not a curated record.
UUCUUAUACUGAACUGAUGUCUAUACUUUUCAAACAAAAUUUAAAAAAAACGCGGAAAUGUACUAAGUCUAAAAUUAAGGAAGCGGGAGCCAAAUUUUCACUCCCUCCCAACACUUAGUCAGAUUUCCACGACUGAUUGACUAGGUUUUCCUCUACUUUUCCCCACACCGGCCGCGAUACAGAAACACCGAGACCGACUUCCUCUUUCACCCACACCGCGACCGAUCGUCCUCUUUCCCCACACCGCGAUACAGAGACACCGCAACCGAAGUCAUCUGUCGCCCCCGUCCAGUAACCGACGACCUCUUUCGCCUUCUCUGGCUCCGAUGGCUUGAUUUCCUCCUCCUUCUCUCUCAUCUCUCUUCUGAAAUCCAGCGAAUCUCCCAAUUGCUGAGAUCGAGAAGCCGAAGCCGGAGCUGCAGUGGCUGUCUGUCCUUUCUCUUUCCACGGGCCUCCCCUUCUCAGCCCCUCUCUUCGACCGUCGAGGCGGCGACGGCCAUCGCUCUCAUCGACGGCACUUCUGAGGCAAUUACGGCUAUUAAGGAGCAAGAGAAGCAAAUUAACGAUUUUAGACAACAUUAGUGGGAUUAUAAGACCUUCAAGAUUGACGUUGUUAUUGGGUCCACCGAGCUCCGGCAAGACGACGCUACUAUUGGCUCUCGCCGGACGCCUUGGAACUGGUCUUCAGGUAGCACAACAUACAAUGGCCAUGGCUUAAACGAGUUUGUGCCGCAGAGGACGUUGGCUUAUGUCAGUCAACAGGACUGGUUUGCGGCGGAGAUGACUGUAAGGGAGACUCUUGACUUUGCAGGACGGUGUCAAGGUG